Molecule: ribosomal RNA, 723 nt
Filed under: uncultured bacterium
Lineage: Bacteria
Description: bacterial SSU rRNA
Rfam family: Bacterial small subunit ribosomal RNA
Source: RNAcentral
AGAGUUUGAUCCUGGCUCAGGGUGAACGCUAGAAGUAUGCUUAACACAUGCGAGUCGAACGAAAAAAGAAUGGUUCUUUUUUAGUGGCGUACGGGUGAGUAAUACAUAGGAACUUACCUUUUUGUUCAGUUUUAAAUCCUGAUUAAAAAGAAACAAUUUCGCAAAAAGAUAGGCCUAUGGAAGAUUAGGUAGUUGGUAGGGUAAUUGCCUACCAAGCCAGUGAUCUUUAGCUGUACUGAGAGGUUGGUCAGCCACACUGGGACUGAGACAAGGCCCAGGCUUCCUUCGAAGCCAGCAGUGAGGAAUUUUGGACAAUGAGCGAAAGCUUGAUCCAGCAAUACUCCAUGAGUGAAGACAGCUUUCAAGUUGUAAAACUCUUUGGUUGGUGAGGAUUAUGACAGUAACCUACUAAAUAGCCCCGGCCAACUUCGUGCCAGCAGCCGCGGUAAGACGAAGGGGGCGAGCGUUACCCGGAAUGACUGGGCGUAAAGGGUCCGUAGGUUGUAUUUUUUGUUAAAGGUGAAAGAUAAAAGCUCAACUUUUUUUAAGCCUUUAAAACGUUUAUACUUUGAGUUUGAAAGAGGAUAGCAGAAUUUCACAUGGAGGGGUGAUAUCCUUAGAUAUGUGAAGGAACACCGAUGGCGAAGGCAGCCCCCUGGGUUAACACUGACGCUCAUGCACGAAAGCGUGGGGAGCAAACAGGAUUAGAUACCCUGGUAGUCC